CAGCCGCCGCGGUAAAACGUAGGUGGCAAGCGUUGUCCGGAAUUAUUGGGCGUAAAGGGCUCGCAGGCGGUUUCUUAAGUCUGAUGUGAAAGCCCCCGGCUCAACCGGGGAGGGUCAUUGGAAACUGGGAAACUUGAGUGCAGAGGAGGAGAGUGGAAUUCCACGUGUAGCGGUGAAAUGCGUAGAGAUGUGGAGGAACACCAGUGGCGAAGGCGACUCUCUGGUCUGUAACUGACGCUGAGGAGCGAAAGCGUGGGGAGCGAACAAGAUUAGAUACCCCAGUAGUCCCUGUCUCUUAUAC
This 301-nucleotide ribosomal RNA is filed under the name uncultured bacterium. RNAcentral's name for it is "partial 16S ribosomal RNA". It matches the Rfam family "Bacterial small subunit ribosomal RNA", at positions 509 to 807 of the family's 1533-position model. The record is from RNAcentral.